GUUGCCAUGCAGAAUGUCUGUUGGUCAGUUGGGCACAUCUGCACACAUUUACAAUAUCUGCCACCUCUUUUAACCCUCAACCCCGCCCCACAAAAUGAGUGAUGGUGCUUGUUGAUUUGCAGAUUCACAGUCUGGUGAGACAAGUUUGAGAUCUCAUAUUUUCAGCUCAUCCUUGAAAACCUUUCUUCGAUUUGACUGACCUUGAUGGCUCCCUGGAAUCUCACCUACAUUUUAUGGGAAAUUCAACUCUCCAGAGAGAAGAGCUUUCAGAUAGCUGCGGGACUUGCAACUGUGACUUUCAGCUUUCGCUUUUGAAUGAGGCUCCAAAUGUCUCAAUGGUGGCACUAUUUCCAGAUUUGGGACAUUAAGUUUUGCAAAAUUAAAUGACUACAUUUACAGUCAUGGAGGAGAGACAUUGCCUCAACUCGGUUUCUUCUGAUGUGUCUUUGAAACAGAGCCCUGCAAAGCUAAUCUGCUCAACCUUCACCUACUGGGUUCAAUGAAUAUGAAAAGCUGCCUUCCUGAAACUUUUCCUUCAAAGAGGGAAUGAUCUCCUGGAAUUCAAGCUUCUACAAGAGAACUGUGUGCAGGCCCAAGGAGAACAACUACAUGAAAUAAACCUUAUGUUUUCAGUUACAAUAA
Molecule: long non-coding RNA, 642 nt
Organism: Homo sapiens (human)
Lineage: Eukaryota; Metazoa; Chordata; Mammalia; Primates; Hominidae
Gene: ADAMTS9-AS1
Product: ADAMTS9 antisense RNA 1
Source: Ensembl